This 1272-nucleotide long non-coding RNA is filed under the name Homo sapiens (human). Its description in RNAcentral is "HSALNT0157445". Lineage: Eukaryota; Metazoa; Chordata; Mammalia; Primates; Hominidae. The record is from RNAcentral.
GCGCAUGCGGACAGUGCACCCUGAGGGAAGAAUCAUGGAAAAGGGUGCUGAAGCUAUCCAUAGAAAAUCUAGUUAUCAGAAGACACCCAACCUUGACAAGUUAAAAACAAAACAAAGAAGAACAACAACCUGUCCAGCUGUGAGGAGUUAAUACUUAAGAGAAUAUCAACCUUGAGACCCGAUGGAUGAAAAUGUUCCUAAAGAAAAGCAGACGUGAAUGACAAUGGUUCAGUUACUGUUAAGAGACUGACUUCACACUAUGAGCCUCGAGCAGACUACAUAUAUGUACAUUUUAUGAUCAAGGAAGGUUAUGUGAACGAUAAUGAAGUCGGGAGAAAUUCACAGGAGGAUAUUAUGUCCAUAUGUAGUUUGUGUGUAAGUAGAAGUUAUGAAGUGUCCAAAUCAUGGUGAUCAGCCCUUCCAUCUUUAGAAAGUGGAGACACUUCUGGUUGGAACACAAAGCAUCCUGGGAAAUCACGAGCCCAUGAAACACACAGGAUCUCUGAAGCUUAACGGUGCAUUUUAAUGCUCAGAGUAAUGAUUUUCAUUAGACUGCCUCUUAAUUCCUUCCCACCUGGGAAAAUGUUUCUCAUCUCAAGAAAUUGCAAACCUGUUAGAAAGUUCUGAUUAAGUCACCUUAUAGAAAUAGAAUUUUCAUUCACUGGAACAUUUCUAAAUGUAUCCUGAUAUAAGUUUUAGAUAGCAGGAAGUUGUAAACAUGAGCUUCGUAGGCAAGAUAAAUGGAUCAAACCCUGGCCCUUUACAUUGAAUAUUUAGAUGACUGUGGACAAUUAAUUCAAUGUUAUGCUCAGUAUGGUAUAAGCAACACACAUAGCAGUCCCGGUGAAGAAUACAAAUCCCAUGUCUCAAUUUUCUAGAAUAAAAUAAGAUUAAAAUGUGUUUUAUAUAUCUGUGUGAAAGCUAAAAAAUGUUGUACAUAAAUUACAGUAAUUUUUCAGGUUACUUACUUUCAAAAUCAAAAAAUUAUUUCAAUAGAUAGAAGAUAAUGAAUAUAAUGUUUCUGUAUAAUUCAGUCAUUUAAUAGUUAAAUUUUAUGAAUGCGUAUUUGUUUUAUUUUGGAUCGUCUUAACUAGAUUCUGUUAAUUAAUCUCUUAAGAUAUUUUUCACCUACUGAAAUCAUUAAACAUUGUCUCCGUUCAUGAUCUCUUUGACACCUUAAAGAACAUCUUCACUUUGACAAUACGUAUAAACUAGUUUCUGUCAUUAAUGCUGUAUCUUUUUAAAAUUAAAUUGUAUUGCGUAUAUUUAAGG